Molecule: long non-coding RNA, 1443 nt
Organism: Lontra canadensis (Northern American river otter)
Lineage: Eukaryota; Metazoa; Chordata; Mammalia; Carnivora; Mustelidae
Exons: 2
Source: RefSeq, a predicted model, not a curated record
GGCUUCCAGCGCGUUCAAAGUCCCACCGCGCCUCUCUGGUGGGAGGCAGAGCCCACCCGAUUAUUUUUCAAAGCCCUGGGUUUCAGCGUCCCUAACCUGCUCCAUAAAUAGGAACGCAAUUAAAGAUGCUCCAGGAAACUUGGUGACCGUAUUUAAUUUUUCUCUCCUCCCAUCUUGAGGGGCGAGGAAAUCCCACCGCUGAAUAGCGGUUAGUAUCUGUUUUACAAGAUUUACUCAUUUUCAGGUGCCUGACGUAGCUGCUAGCAUGCAUGCACAACAAUACAAUUUAUAUGGUAAAUGGGACCGAAUAAUGGCUUCACUGAAUGUUAUGGCUGCGCUGAAGGGAGAUGUCACGGUAAAUAGCCACCAAAUUAUGGAUCGUGCCGCAGUGUCACAACCACACUGAAGACAGAUAGCACUGGGGGCGAUCGCCACUGGGACGUCUCUCCGGCCACAUGAAGGAGACUUUUCUGCCCGCUUUCAGCAGCGCCCGCGCACGCGGGGCAGGGGACAGGUUCUGGGAAUGCUCAGUGCCCAGGAAGUGACCGGCCACGGGCGGACACUGCGAUCCACCCGUGCCAUCCACGGAGGUGAUGCGAUUUCACGGGGCAUCUGUUGCUUCCCACGCAGAUAGAUGUGCGCGGUCUGAACCGGGCCGCCCCUCUCCCCCCACGGAGGCUCCAGGAGCAAGGACCCCGCCAGCUGAACUGCUGCUUCAAACUGCAGUGCGUCCCGGUUUCUUUCAUUUUAAUGGGAGGGUAAUAAAGAUGAAAGACCAGCAUUUCAGCUGAUGGAUCCCUUAAGCUACAGAAUAGAAAUUUAUGAUGUUUUGAAGGAAUAGACGAAAUUCAGCGAUGUAAAAAAAAAAAAAAAUUUCAAACAACGAAGUCUAAAAUAAAAUAUAAUCUGAAAACCUCAUGCUCACUUUCCCCAAACUCAGGAACUACAGUGCAUGCUGUUUUCAUUUAUUCUUAGAAAACAAGCAUGAAGGAUUCCGCCCAUUCAGAUAAUGCCAAAAAUAUGUUUAAACUUUUUUUUUUCUUAUUCUUCUGAAAAAUGAUUUGUAAAUUGAGGGUCAUAGUUCAGUAUCAGUUUCAUCUUCUGGGAUUAUCGUUCAGGACGAGCCUGUAAUGGGAGGUGAAAUGGUGCGACACGCUCACACCCCUUCCUGAACUGCAUUACAUAUCACAGAACGUACAUCCGUAACUCAGGGCAAUUGUCAGUCUUUGUGUUAGAGACAGGGCUGGGGCUGAGCGAUCCUGGGGGAUGAGUUAUUUCUCGGUUCUCAGGGUGGCCUUCUCUGCACCUCAGCCUUGAGGUCUCCAGCUGGGCAGAUGGAGGGGUUUGACUUUGAGGAAGCCAUUCCUUGCCACUCCGUUGUGACUUCUAAAAAAGCAAGUGCUAUAUUCCUUCACAUUUGUUUUGCAUGCAAAAAAAAAAAAA